AUACGUAGGUGGCAAGCGUUGUCCGGAUUUACUGGGUGUAAAGGGCGUGUAGGCGGAGAUGCAAGUCAGGAGUGAAAUCUAGGGGCUCAACCCCUAAACUGCUUUUGAAACUGUAUCCCUUGAGUAUCGGAGAGGCGGCGGAAUUCCUAGUGUAGCGGUGAAAUGCGUAGAUAUUAGGAGGAACACCAGUGGCGAAGGCGGCCUGCUGGACGACAACUGACGCUGAGGCGCGAAAGCGUGGGGAGCAAACAGGAUUAAAUACCCUGGUAGUCCACGCUGUAAACGAUGAAUACUAGGUGUGGGGGGACUGACCCCCUCCGUGCCGCAGUUAACACAAUAAGUAUUCCACCUGGGGAGUACGAUCGCAAGAUUGAAACUCAAAUGAAUUGACGGG
This 394-nucleotide ribosomal RNA is filed under the name uncultured bacterium. RNAcentral describes it as "partial 16S ribosomal RNA". It matches the Rfam family "Bacterial small subunit ribosomal RNA", at positions 523 to 917 of the family's 1533-position model. The record is from RNAcentral.